This 599-nucleotide long non-coding RNA is filed under the name Gallus gallus (chicken). The record is from RNAcentral. Lineage: Eukaryota; Metazoa; Chordata; Aves; Galliformes; Phasianidae.
UGCAUGUCCUUCAGGUUGCUGUCGCUGCUGUUCUUUCCAGGCUUAUCACUCAACUGCACCACCUCGUUGGAGCUCUUCCCCAGCAGUGAGUUCUCCUUUACUUUCUCCUCUUCCAGUUUCUUUCUCAAAUGCUCCUUUUGCUUGCUAAGGGGUUUUUUCACCAGCUCAGACUGGUGUUUUUGCCUCUGAGUCCUGGGAGCAAAGUUACUGUUAUCAACAUUUUCAAAGUCCUUGGGGACCGAAUUCUCAUUAUUGCUGUCUGUUCUCGUUUUCUCCUUCGGUCGGUGGGAAAAAUAGCCAUCCAUCGCCUUCCCGUGCACGGCGCCGGCCCCGCGGCGGUGCGGCUGCGCGCGGUGUUCGCUGCCGGCGGCGGUGCCGCCGCGGUCCCGCUUCUCGCGGCCGGAGGCGCCGCGCUGCUCCUCUCCGGCGUCGAGGGAGGUGAAAUUCCAGACGAGGAGGGUCUGCAGCAGCAGCACGGUGAGCGCCGCCACCAGCGCCGAACGGGAGCGUCUCGCCAGCCGCCGGGCGCACGGAGCCGCCACCAUCUUCGCCGCCGCCGCGCUGCCGAGAGCCGCCGCAUCCGCCGCGGCGCGGAGUUU